CGCGUCACUCACCAAUGGCAGAACAGGUGACGCUAGGAAUGGUCUACACAGUCAAAUACACCAAGCAAAUUAAGACGGCUGCAGUGAAGAAAUCUAACAGGGAAAAGAUGACUCAAGACAGUCAUACAAGAACUGCAUUUAUAUCGGUGUGGUCUUCAAUCUGUUGGAAAAACCUACAAGUUUUGAAGGGGUUGAAAAGCGAUGCACGGCUAGCUGUACUGCUCCUGGACAGGCAGGAAUAUGCACAUCCAAAGACGCCUGUCCAUGAGAGAGUCUGCUCUGCUGCUCCAGGACCUGACGUGGACCCCCAGGAACAGCUGAGUGGUGUAACGUUACAGUGAACAAGAAUGCAGCGAGCACAAGGGCUUACUGUUCUCCAUGCUACAGUUUGUAUAGAUGCAGGCCUUCUACACAUGUGUGUUAGACUUUAAUGACGCUGUGUGCUCUGUCUUUUUUACACAUUUAUCAGGGUCACAGGGCCAAACACAUCCAUAUACGGUUUUCAUCAUUGCUUUUGUGGUGACAUUCCCCGACUCAAACUGGUUUUAUCUUCAGGUUUAAUGCCAGUGUGUGCUGGCAUGAUCCCCCCCCCCCCCAAAUCCUUAACCUUGCAGAGUCUGAGGGGAGCAUUUAUCAGACAUUAUUAGACAAGAUGACUCUUAGCAGCCUCCUCCUGUAAGCUACAGGAGGAGGCUUGUCCUCUGCUGACACUUGAUACACAAUGAGCCCAUUCCUUCAAUAACACACUGUCCCUAAAAGCCCUGGUUAAAUAGUGCACAUGCUCAGUGGGAAAAAAUUACAACUACAAAUCUAUUCAAAGACCUCUGGUCCCUUACAUAAGAUUGUUUUUGUAGAAUCUGCCUCAGUCUGUGCAGCCAGUCUAAAAAACAAAUGCGCAGGGAUAAAGCAGUGACUUGUUAAAUUUACAACAUAAAACAAAGUAUUGGACAAAUUGAAAUGGCCUGACGAUGGCGCUUGUUGUAAAAAGGUUAAUGAAUCACUAAAGUUAUCACAGUUCAUCCUGACAGGGGACACGAUUGUUAGUGCCAAAUUUCAUCACAGUCUGUCCAAUAGUUGUUUACACAUUUCACCCAAGGCCAGAAAAAAAGGAAAAGUUUGAAGAACAGCAAAUUCAUUAGAAUUCAUGGUCUGAUAACCAUUAAUCUCUGUAUGCAAACUUUUCAUCCCAUUCUGAAUAGAUGUAGAGAUAGUUCACCAGAUAAAAUGUGACCUGCUGGUAGUUGUAAAGGAAAAGAUGAUGCACUUAGGACAUGAUUAAGAUUCCUCGUCUGGGCACCUUGAAUGUCUGUAAAAAAAAAAUGACAUGGCCGGUUUUAAGAUAUUUCAGUUUGGAUCACCUCGACUGACCAACCUCGCCAUCCACAGAGCCAUGCUGCUAGCGUGGCUAAUAAAAAGAAGCCGUCUUCAACUGGUGUGUCUUUACUGGCCCUCUCUGAUGACUCCAUUCCUAUGAGGUAACACUAAUCCGUAGCUCCAGGGAUUGUAAAAGACGGGAUUUCAGAUGAUAUAUACUUGAAAUCCAACCUGAACCUCCAGAAUCUGAGUUUUAUUGUUGGUUUUGAUCAUUUUAUUGGAGCACGCUAUCUCCAGGACUGCUAAGCUAUUGCCUUGAGAACCUUUUAGUCUUUGAGUUUUCUGUUUUCAUCACUUUGUUUGGGGUUUGAUGGGGCAUGCAUGGGGCUAACUGGGCUGGGUGAGAGGUCAGGGGAGGGUCAGGGGGCUAUGCUACUGUGAGGGUCUGCUUUAAGAAUUUCUGAGGUGAGAGGCAUUCCUGGUGGGUGUCUGGCUUUAUGUGGGGUUCGGGCUAGUUUUGGAUUGGUACGGAGACCGGGGGGGGGAUAAGACUGCUGCAGAGCAUUUUUACCGAUUUUGUAUCCCCCUCUCUCUGUCUGUUUUCUCCCAGACUCAUGGUGUUUCUCCACGUCUCCCCUCUCUCUGUUUUCCUCUGCUGCUGUCUGUACCUGAGGCCAGACUGACAGCAGAGCCCAGCAGGAGAGGAGGGUCUUGGGUGUUUGACUGACAGACCAGUGACGAGUGCACAGAGAGAGGGUGAAGGGUGAAGGUCGGAGGUCAGGCUCCCAUGGAGAGGAGGAGAGCAGAUCUGGGAAAACAGAGGAGGGGGGGGGACUUGCUAACGAGAUGUAAAUGCAGAGAGACGUAAAUGCAAACAAUUAUUGGAUGUAAUGAAAUAAUAUAAAUAAUAGCAUCAAGCUAAAGAAGGUUAUAUGAACCUAAACAGCAACUUUAACACCAGUACAAACGUAUAAAUAAUUAUCCAAAAGACAUAAAUACCAGAGAAGAGCGUGAAUCUCCAUUCUUGACAUUUGUAAUUGUCGUUACUUAACUCCACUUGCAUCCGCUUCACUGUCAUCACAUCACCUAAUCUAAAAUUUUAACGUGACUUAAACUUCAAUUACUGACAUGAAACAUGAAUGUUUGGACAUGAACAUUAUGAGUUUAGAGUAUGCAAUAAAUAUACAGUACAUGCAAUGAUAAUGUGCCUUGUUAUCCUGAUUGUUGCUGUCAUUAUCACCAGUCCUGAGCCCAGUAAAGCAACAAUACUCCAGAUCCAGCACUGCUGCCAAAUCUGUCUGUAGUUAACUGAAAUCUCUUUAACCUUCUUGUAUUUUAACUCUUUGUAACAUGUCGUAUUUGUAUUCUUGAUCACUUUAUCUUACUAUGUUAAUCCCAGGAACAUUGCACAUGUAUAUAUCUCAGAUUUUGUACACAUUGCACAUUUAUCUUUUUCUGUAUGAGGGUAUAUUCUGUAUGUUAAUCUCAGGAACAUUCACAUGUAUAUAUUCUCAGGAACUUCUGCAUAUUUCACAUGUAUAUAUUGCAGAUUUAUUAACACAAAGAUCCAGUUAACUGUGUAUAGUAUUUUAUUUAUUUUAUCCUAUUUUGUCUUAUUUAUUGUUGAUUCUGUUUUAAGGAAACGUUCACCCUUACACUGCUACUUUAUCCCCACUACUGCUGUGUCAAUUUUAAUUUUUACCCAAAGGGAUCAAUAAACAUGCAUCUUAUCUUAUGUUUUGUCUGUGUGGAUGAACUGUAUAUAAAGUGGUCCUCAAAAAGCUCCUCAAUUUGUGAGACCCUGAAUGAUAAAUCCCACUAAAAAAUA
Long non-coding RNA from Scomber scombrus (Atlantic mackerel), 3142 nucleotides. RefSeq lists it as uncharacterized. The transcript has 2 exons. Lineage: Eukaryota; Metazoa; Chordata; Actinopteri; Scombriformes; Scombridae. The record is from RefSeq and is a predicted model, not a curated record.